RNAcentral lists this ribosomal RNA (497 nucleotides) under uncultured bacterium. RNAcentral's name for it is "bacterial SSU rRNA". It matches the Rfam family "Bacterial small subunit ribosomal RNA", at positions 37 to 518 of the family's 1533-position model. The record is from RNAcentral.
UGGCGGCGUGCCUAACACAUGCAAGUCGAGCGGGACGAGUACGACGGAGAGGAAGUUUCGGAUGGAAUCGAAGAUGUAUGUUCUAGCGGCGGACGGGUGAGUAACGCGUGAGCAACCGUGUCCUUCGACAGGGGGAUAACACAGCGAAAGUUGUACUAAUACCGCAUAAGACCACGGCAGGACAUCCUGCAAGGGGUCAAAGGAGCAAUCCGGUGAAGGGUGGGCUCGCGUCCGAUUAGAUAGUUGGUGAGGUAACGGCCCACCAAGUCAACGAUCGGUAGCCGACCUGAGAGGGUGAUCGGCCACAUUGGGACUGAGACACGGCCCAAACUCCUACGGGAGGCAGCAGUGGGGAAUAUUGGGCAAUGGGGGGAACCCUGACCCAGCAACGCCGCGUGAGGGAAGAAGGUUUUCGGAUCGUAAACCUCUGUCCUUGGUGAAGAGGAAGAGACGGUAGCCAAGGAGGAAGCCCCGGCUAACUACGUGCCAGCCGCCGC